ACUCCUACGGGAGGCAGCAGUGGGGAAUAUUGCACAAUGGGGGAAACCCUGAUGCAGCCAUGCCGCGUGUGUGAGGAAGGCCUUAGGGUUGUAAAGCACUUUCAGUGGGGAGGAAAGGGUGGAAGCUAAUACCUUUCAUCUGUGACGUUACCCACAGAAGAAGCACCGGCUAACUCCGUGCCAGCAGCCGCGGUAAU
This 197-nucleotide ribosomal RNA is filed under the name uncultured bacterium. Its description in RNAcentral is "partial 16S ribosomal RNA". It matches the Rfam family "Bacterial small subunit ribosomal RNA", at positions 335 to 524 of the family's 1533-position model. The record is from RNAcentral.